RNAcentral lists this ribosomal RNA (489 nucleotides) under uncultured Glomeromycotina. Its description in RNAcentral is "SSU rRNA". It matches the Rfam family "Eukaryotic small subunit ribosomal RNA", at positions 569 to 1063 of the family's 1831-position model. Lineage: Eukaryota; Fungi; Glomeromycota. The record is from RNAcentral.
AGCAGCCGCGGUAAUUCCAGCUCCAAUAGCGUAUAUUAAAGUUGCUGCAGUUAAAAAGCUCGUAGUUGAAUUUCGGGACCAAUAUGUCGGUCGUGCCUCGGUACGUACUGGCAUCGUUGGUUUCUCCCUUCUGACGAACCAUGAUGUCAUUCAUUUGGUGUCGUGGGGAAUCGGGACUGUUACUUUGAAAAAAUUAGAGUGUUUAAAGCAGGCUCACGCUUGAAUACAUUAGCAUGGAAUAAUGAAAUAGGACGUUUGAUUCUAUUUUGUUGGUUUCUAGGGUCGACGUAAUGAUUAAUAGGGAUAGUUGGGGGCAUUAGUAUUCAAUUGUCAGAGGUGAAAUUCUUGGAUUUAUUGAAGACUAACUACUGCGAAAGCAUUUGCCAAGGAUGUUUUCAUUAAUCAAGAACGAAAGUUAGGGGAUCGAAGACGAUCAGAUACCGUCGUAGUCUUAACCAUAAACUAUGCCGACUAGGGAUCGGAUGAUGU